This 792-nucleotide long non-coding RNA is filed under the name Parus major (Great Tit). RNAcentral's name for it is "lncRNA (ENSPMJG00000011281.1)". Lineage: Eukaryota; Metazoa; Chordata; Aves; Passeriformes; Paridae. The record is from RNAcentral.
AUGCUGCAUGUCAUCAUCAAGAAAACCUUCCAGAAUUCUGAUGCUGGGAAGAAAAAAAUAAAACCACCUACAUUUGAACUUUGCAUGUGGUCUCUUCCUCUUGUUGGAUGUUUUCCUACACCUCUACCAAAGUUUCCAAGAUGGACCUCUUCUUUUUCUUCUUUUCCACCCUUUAUUGAAUUUGUUCAUGUUGUUUUGCCAGCUUUCCCAGUUCCACCUAACCCAAUGAGCAGCUGCAAAGCCAUUUAUGGAUAAUAACUGUCCUUUAAGUCAAAGUUAAAGAAAGACUUCAUACUGUUCUUUGUAAUGAUUCAUUAGCCUUUUCAGCUCUUCAGCCCACUAUGAAACCAUAAAAUUCUCAUCAUAUAAAAAAGGAGACAGUAAGACCACUGUUCUUUUUUUCCAUGGCAAAUUUAAUUAAAAAGAUGAUGUUUCAACUUUCUCUAAGUGCCAGUCUGAAAUGGUUGGCCUUAAAUUGCAAAACCAAUGCCAGGAAAAGAUUUGGAUGACAUAUUGAUGUUCCUUUUUUCCCCUGUAAACCCAGGAAAGUUGUUCAUGUGUAUGUAAGGUUAUAAUUUAGCAAGGCACUUGGCACAUAUGAACAAACACAUUUGAAGAUACUUAGGUGGCAGCAUCACUAUUACCUUCUUCCAAUUAUUCCACAAUGGAAAGACAAUGUAAUAGGUUGAACAGAACACAAGGUAUUGCUCCCACUGAAGAGAGUAAAAAUCAAUCCAAUAAGCUCCUUUGUGGAAUGAGGUAUCUGAAAUCACUGCAGCAGCCAAAAGCAAA